UUACAGCCAUAUCACGUUGAAUCACCUGUUCUCGGACGAUCACCGAAGUUAAGCAACGUCGAGCCUGAUCAGUACAUAGAUGGGUAACCGCUUCGACAUACCAGGUGCUGUAA
Acanthosepion pharaonis is the source of this 113-nucleotide non-coding RNA. The record is from the annotation of a GenBank genome assembly. NCBI's taxonomy places the organism in Eukaryota, Metazoa, Mollusca, Cephalopoda, Sepiida, Sepiidae.